UGAGCGCCGGUGGAAUCUGGAGCGAGAGAGCGGUAAAUAAUCUCACGUCCUUCUUAGUGGAGUUAGUUCUAAUUAAUGCAAAAAAAUAGAAAGAGAAAUGUUUCAAUUAGUGUCCUCUGACUCAUUAAAGCUGAAGAGCAACUAAAAAAAACCCCAAAAAAACCACUUAUUUGGCAUUUAUUCAUGUUUUUAUGAAAAUUAAACUUAAGUGGAUGUUCCCAAAUUGUUUUUCCAAAAAUAGCAGCAAAGUCCUCACAGGCCUCUCAUCCUCUGGGAAAUCAUGGGUCUCUGGGAAUAGAAAGUGGAGCGUGUCCACACAAAACAGAACAUUUCCUCCUGCCAACACUAUCAUUAGCUGCAAUUAUUUCAAGUGAGAUUUUUUCAUCAGGAAAAACAAAAUGCUGAAUUGGUUUAUGGAACUCAUUCUCAAGAAUAAUGUGGUGGAUAAAACAGCAAAUAUUAAAACGGCUCAGCUGACCCGUUUUGUUCAUGACAAGCCUUAAUGUGUAUAAUAAACAUGCCAUAGCAACUGGCAACCCCCUAUUCUGGCUGUAUUUCCUCCCAUCAAACAAAUUCUCCUGGAACAGCUGAAGGCUGAGUUCAGGUUAUUCAUUUUGCUUCUUCAAUGAUUUUUCUGUCACCACUAAAACUUCAUAGUAAUUUCAUGAUCUCUGCAUAGUUGCCAUUUCGCUGCAAGUCUUUCCGUGCAUAUUCCCCUUAAGUAGCCCAAACCACAUGGGUCAAUCUGUUUAACUGUGAUAGUAAUGACCACAUUUUCUUUAAACCCCAAUGCAGUAACACGACCUGAGAGGACCCUGGGUGUCUCCUGUCUCACAGGAAAAUGGCUAAAUGCUGAUCUGCCAGAGGACCACACUGACGGACAUUGAGCGGAUAUCGAACGGAGGCAGCGCAGCCACACGAAGAGUCUCCUCAAGUUCAAAAGUUCCCACUGUGAGGAAGCAACUAUUUCUGCUUUCAGUGCAGCUCGUGCACUCGUUAUGGAGUCAAACUCUCAGCCAACACUUAGCAUUUAUACCUCCACACUGCUGUGAGCUGGUCUGUCAAACAACAUAA
RNAcentral lists this long non-coding RNA (1074 nucleotides) under Oreochromis niloticus (Nile tilapia). Its description in RNAcentral is "lncRNA (ENSONIG00000040113.1)". Lineage: Eukaryota; Metazoa; Chordata; Actinopteri; Cichliformes; Cichlidae. The record is from RNAcentral.